AACGAACGCUAGCAGCGUGGAUUAGGCAUGCAAGUCGUGCGCGAAAGUCUUCGGACGAGUAAAGCGGCGAAAGGGUGAGUAACACGUAACCAACGUACCCCUUAGAUCGGGAGUAACCACUGGAAACGGUAGGGUAAUACCGAAUGGUCCUAUGGCUAGGCAUCUAGUCAAUGGUAAACGGUAGGCUUCGGCUGCUGCUGAGGGAGCGGGUUGCGGCCUAUCAGCUUGUUGGUGAGGUAAAAGACUUACCAAGGCUAUGACGGGUAGCGGGUCUGAGAGGAUGAUCCGUCACACUGGGACUGAGACACUGCCCAGACUCCUACGGGAGGCUGCAGUCGAGAAUCUUCCACAAUGGACGAAAGUCUGAUGGAGCGACGCUGCGUGUAGGAUGAAGGCCUUAGGGUUGUAAACUACUGUCACGCUAUAGGAACCCGUAUCCGUUAAUAGCGGAUACGCUGACCAAAGCGAAAGGAAGUGCCGGCUAACUCCGUGCCAGCAGCCGAC
Molecule: ribosomal RNA, 504 nt
Filed under: uncultured bacterium
Lineage: Bacteria
Description: bacterial SSU rRNA
Rfam family: Bacterial small subunit ribosomal RNA
Source: RNAcentral